AAAUAUACUGUAUAAAUAAAUUAUACGUAUAAAAUAAGUCGAGUCGAGAUGAAUCUCUUCCCGCAAGAAGAUUAUCGCCCCGGUAGUGCUCUUCGGUUUGGCGUAUCUUCCCCAAAGGUAAAACGACUUCGUCUCGUCGGAUGUAGCACCACAAUCCGGCGAGCUCCGGCGAACUGAAUAAGGAUCGAAAACUGAGCUAGAGGUGGAAUGCAGAAUGCAGACUAUUUUGUGAGUUGUGAGUUGUGAGUUUUCAGAGUGAAUUCUAAAGCUCACCACACACCCAUAUUUAUAGGUGUUAAACCGAGUGUGAACGGAUCGGCAGUCAACUCCGGCGGCUGCGGUAGGUGGCCGCAAUCGUUGAACGCAGAAGUUGAAACAGUCAAUUCCGGCGGCUGCGGUAGGUGGCCGCAAUCGUUGAACGCAGAAGUUGAAACUGAUUUUCCCUCUUCAACAUCCAAACUUUGACAUACAAUAUCUCACUCACCGGAAAUCGGUUUUGAGACUUCAAGUAUAUCACGUUGAUCUACUCGAGAUGUAGAUUAACAUCCAAUAAUUAUUUUAAUUAAAUAAUAAAUAUUUAAUUAAAUAAUAAUUUUCAGAUAUGGCAUAAAACCAUAUUUCCAACAAUCCCCCACAUGAGUGAGAAAUCAGUAUGCGAAUGUAUGCAGACAUUUAGCUCAGUCCUCUUAAGAAACAACAUUGCAUUUGGAAAGGUAGCUUGUGGCUUUGAACCUGCCAUAGUCAAUAUUAUCGAGUAUACCGGCGGCCUAGUGGAUUGUGUUCCUUGAACUAGUCCUCCUCGGUGUAUACUAAGUCAACAAUAUUGACACAAUAUUGCUUCAAUCCUUAUUCGUUCUCACGUUUGUGUCCAUUACAGGCCUUGGAACACCUCUUUGGAUUCAUAAGUGUUUCAAUCGAAGCGGCCCCACUUCACACUUACAUAGGUGACUCUUAACUCAAGUAUCCUGCUAUACUUGUCCUCUUCGAGGAGUUCUAGAGUCAUUAAAAGUCAAAGACUUAACCUCACCACGUGCAGGUUUCCGAACACUCACUGUUCUACAAGGAAUAGGCAAUUCGAGUGUUCAACACACGGAUUUUCAUAGCUUAGUUGUCCCAUUGAACCAAGUUCUUGGGAUCCUCCAGUCAUCAUGGUUGGGUUGCCACUAUGAUUAUCCUUAAUUUGUGGACUUCAAACCCAUUCCCCCUAACAGUUUAUACAUCUGAUCUCGAUGGAUACUUUUUGUCAAAGGAUCCGCUAUGUUAUCAAUUGAUCUUAUAUAAUCAAUUGUGAUAACUCCACUAGUGAUCAGAUGUCUCACGGUAUUAUGACGUCGACGAAUAUGUCUCGACUUACCGUUAUACAAAUGGUUUUGUGCUCGUCCGAUAGCAGCUUGACUAUCACAAUGAAUUAUCACGGACGACACAGGUUUCGACCAACAUGGAAUAUCCUCGAGGAAAUUUCUAAGCCACUCGGCUUCUUCACCAGCUUUAUCCAAAGCUAUGAAUUCUGAUUCCAUGGUCGAUCUAGCAAUACAUGUUUGCUUCUUGGAUUUCCAAGACACAGCACCACCCCCCACAGUGAAUACAUAACCGCUCGUUGAAAACGAGUCUUUGGCAUCAGAUAUCCAAUUUGCAUCACAGUACCCUUCAAGUACAGAGGGUUCCCUAGUAUAAUGAAUCGCAUAGUUUUGAGUAUAUUUCAAAUAUCUCAAAACCCUUUCAAGAGCUUUCCAAUGUUCAUUACUAGGGUUAGCUGUAAAGCUGCUCAACUUGUUGACCGAGCAUGCUAUAUCGGGACGAGUGCAAUUUGUUAGAUACAACAAGCUCCCAAUAAUCUUCGCAUAUUCUAUCGCGUCAACAGGUUCUCCCUUGUGUACACUCAAAUGCACACUAGGUUCCCAUGGUGUCUUAGCUAUUGGCUUGUCAAAAGCGUUGAAUUUCUUUAACACUUUCUCAACGUAGUGAGAUUGUGUUAUAGUAAUACCAUCAGGUCUUCUUAGAAUUUUAAUUCCAAGGAUAACAUCAGCUAAGCCCAUAUCUUUCAUGCUAAAAUUUUUACUUAGCAUGCCUUUGGUUUCUUGAAUCACUCGGGAAUUACUUCCCAUGAUGAGCAUGUCAUCUACAUAAAGACAAACAAUAACAUAUCCGUUAUUAGAAUUCUUAAUGUAGACACAUUUAUCGCACUCAUUGAUUCUGAAUCCAUUUGACAACAUUACACUGUCAAAUUUUAAAUGCCAUUGAAGCGGUGCUUGCUUCAACCCAUAUAAAGACCUUUGAAGUUUGCAUACUUUGUGCUCUUGCCCAGGUACUACAAACCCUUCAGGUUGCUUCAUAUAUAUUUCAUCUUCCAACUCGCCAUACAAGAACGCAGUUUUCACAUCCAUUUGGUGAAUCUCGAGAUUGUGCAAGGCAGCAAUAGCGAGAAGCAUCCGAAUAGAUGUUAGUCUGGUCACAGGUGAAUAGGUAUCGAAGAAAUCGUACCCUUCUUUCUGCCUGAAACCUUGAACGACAAGUCGGGCUUUGUACUUAUCUAUAGUACCAUCAGAUUUGUACUUCUUCUUUAGGAUCCAUUUGCAUCCUAAAGCUUUACUUCCAGGUGGUAGAUCCACUAACACCCAAGUAUGAUUCUGCAUAAUGGAAUCAAUCUCAAUAUCGAUGGCUUCUUUCCAGAGAGCUGCAUCUGAGCCAGACAUAGCUUCUUUAAUCGUCACCGGUUCGCCAUCUAGCAUCAAGACAACAUAAUCCGGUCCAUAGACAUUAGCUUUUCUAACUCGUUCCCCACGUCUCGGUUCUACAUCCAUAGGUUUAGACCUUGGUCUUUUCCUAUUAGGUGGUACAUGAUUAGAACCCGUGGCAUCAUCUACUUGAGUAGAAUUACUAGCUACUUCCAUAGGUUUAGAACCUGUAGCAUCACCAUCAACUCCAUCAUUAGAGUUCGAUGUACCUUUAUCCUUGUUAGGAUAGAUAUUUUCAAAGAAUAUAGCAUUCCUUGAUUCUAUCGUUGUCCCAACAUGUAUAUCAGGUAUCUCCGAUCUGUGCACUAUAAAAACGAUAGGCACUGCUAUUAAGUGCAUGACCAAUGAAGAUACAAUCCACGUUUUAGGUCCUAUUGUAACUUGCUUUGGUAAAGGCACUUCUACCUUGGCUAAACACCCCCACACUUUGAGGUAUUUAUACGAAGGUUUCCUUCCUUUCCAUAGCUCAUAGGGAGUUACAUCUUUCCCUUUGAGUGGAAUCUUGUUCAAGAUAUAGUUGGCCGUUAAGACAGCUUCCCCCCACAUGUUCUGGGGUAAUCCUGAACUAAUCAACAAGGCAUUCAUCAUCUCCUUAAGAGUUCGAUUCUUGCGUUCAGCAACGCCGUUAGAUUGUGGUGAAUAAGGAGCCGUCGUUUGAUGGAUUAUACCACUUUCGUUGCAUAAUUCAGCAAACGGAGCUACAUAUUCUCCACCUCUAUCACUUCGAACCAUCUUAAUUCGACAUCCAAGUUGAUUCUCGGCUUCAUUUUUGAAGUUUCUAAAAGCUUCAAUAGCCUCAUCUUUACUUUUCAAUAAGUAAAGGUAACAAUACUUUGUGCAAUCGUCUAUAAAGGUGAUAAAGUACUUCUUGCCACCUCUAGUUUGCACGAACUUUAAAUCACAAACAUCGGUGUGAAUAAGUUCCAAGGUUGAGUGUCCUUUCUACCGAUUUAAACGGUAACUUAGCCAUUUUGGCUUCAACACAAACUUCACAUUUCUUGUGAGUUGUAUUCAUCAACUUUUAGUAAAUUCAUUUUUACUAAUCUCUUUAUAGCAUUUAGAUUAACAUGUCCAAGUCUACAAUGCCAUAAAUCAGAACACUCAAUCAAGUAAGCAGAAGAGGUUGAUGCAUCUUUAUUGAUUUUAGCCUUGGCAGGCUUACAAGCUCUUACACCAAGUUUGAAAAGUCCUUCGGAGGCAUAGCCUUUCCCUAGGAACUUUCCCCACUUGCGUAUUACAACAUAUCAGAUUUGAAAAAAAUUCAAAAUCCUUAUAUUCGUAAGCCUAAAGCCCGAAAUUAAAUUCUUUCGGACAAUUGGAACGUGUAAUACGUCUUUUAAUGUGAUCUCCACGCCCGACGUGAGUUGAAGAAUCACAUCUCCCAUGCCAAGGACUUGGGAUGUCCGUUCGCUAGCCUCCAUUAUCGUUUUGUUUUCCACUUCUUUGUAGUUGUGGAACAACUCCCGAUUUAUGCAUAUAUGGACGGUAGCGCCGGUGUCCACGAACCAAGCGUUCGGGUUGUCCACAUGAUUCACCUCGGAGAUCAUGGCAGCAAAGUCAUCGUGGUUCCAAUCGUCGAAGUCCUUCUCGACGUUGUUCACGUUGCCAUUUGCUUUCUUCCGCUUUGGCUUGCGGCAAUCCUUAGCCAUGUGACCUUUUUUGUCACAAUUAUAACAUACACCAUCAAACUUUGAUGGUUGACUACCGCUUUGUUUCCAUUUACCCUUAUUAUUAGGGUUAGGGCGACCACGUUUGUUGGAGGGUCCGCCUUUCUCGGUGAGAUUGGCCUUUGCCUCCAUCGGAGCUUUUCCCUUUUGAUCACGACUUCUCACGUGAUCCUCCAUUUGAAGCUUGGAUAUUAAUAUCGGCACGGACAUCUCCGAGCGCUCAUGCUUCAAAAGGUUUUGAAAUUUCCUCCAACUAGGAGGUAAUUUCUCUAUGAUGAUUGCAACGAGCAAUGCAUCCGCCAAGGGCAUCCCUUCGGCUUGAACCUCAUGUGAAAGAUUUUGGAAUUCUUCCACUUGGUCCAUCAAUGGUCGGGAGUCAACCAUUUUAUAUUCCAACCAUUUGGCGACAAUAUACUUGGUAGUAUUUGCCUUGUCCACUUGAUAUUUCAGAUCAAGGGCCUCCCACAAUUGUUUCGCGGUUUCAUGAACCUUGAAAACACGGUAGAGCCGUUCGUCCAGAGACAUGAGAACGGUGUUACGGCACAAGUAGUCGCCGCGACACCAGUUCAAAUAUCCGGCACGAAUUUCUUGGCUUGUCUCCCCUUCCCCUUCACUCGGGGUUGGAGGUUUAUCCUCCAUUAAGAAUCCGGCAAACCCCACGGUUGUGAGGUAGAAUAGCAUCUUCUCUUGCCAAUAUUUGAAGUUCUUGCCUGAGAACGUUGAUGGUUUCUCGGCAAGACCAAUAGUUCUAGAUGUUGACGAUGAAGCCCCCGUUGAUGCAAACGAGGAAAAUAUUGACGACGUGGUUGAACCGAUGGUUGCAGAGGUGGUGGAGCCAUCCAUAUUGACGUCGGUGUGAGCCAUUUCUCGAACGUGUAUCAACGGCAGAGAAAUAAUCUUCUUGCGAUUGUUAGAACCGGGUACACGAUCGAGAUAUUACAAAAUAAAUAUUUUGAGAUAAUACAACUCAAAAUAAUUGAAAAUAUUACAAAAGAAAUAAUUUGAGAAAUUACAACUCAAAUAAAUAUAUACAACUGAAAUACACUGUAUAAAUAAAUUAUACGUUUAAACAAAUCAAGUCGAGUCGAGAUGAAUCUCUUCCCGCAAGAAGAUUAUCGCCCCGGUAGUGCUCUUCGGUUUGGCGUAUCUUCCCCAAAGGUAAAACGACUUCGUCUCGUCGGAUGUAGCACCACAAUCCGGCGAGCUCCGGCGAACUGAAUAGGAUCAAGAACUGAGCUAGAGGUUGAGGUGGAAUGCAGAAUUUGAUGUGAGUUGUGAGUUCUCAGAGUCGUUAGUUCUGAGUUGUGAGUUCUA
Molecule: long non-coding RNA, 5716 nt
Filed under: Salvia miltiorrhiza (redroot sage)
Lineage: Eukaryota; Viridiplantae; Streptophyta; Magnoliopsida; Lamiales; Lamiaceae
Description: long non-coding RNA (SMIL_LNC007484)
Source: RNAcentral